CGUCUAGGCGGUCAGGUAAGUGGGAUGUGAGAUGCCCCGGCUCACCCGGGGACCGGCAUCUCAUACUGCUUGGCUUGAGUACGGGAGAGGAUGUGGGAAUUCCUGGUGUAGCGGUGAAAUGCGUAGAUAUCAGGAGGAACACCGGUGGCGAAGGCGCACAUCUGGCCCGAUACUGACGCUGAAGCGCGAAGCUAGGGAGCAAACG
Molecule: ribosomal RNA, 205 nt
Filed under: uncultured bacterium
Lineage: Bacteria
Description: partial 16S ribosomal RNA
Rfam family: Bacterial small subunit ribosomal RNA
Source: RNAcentral